CACACACACACACAAAUCAAUAAGUCCACGAGUCCUCUAGGAGCGAGGAUCCCGUUUCUUUAACAAGGGAGCUGGUUGGGUUUUAAUGUGUCUGGAUCAAUGUGAACAUAACCUGGUCCCAGGCAGGUAAAGUUAUGACAGUCAGCACAACAUACAGGCCUGAAUGCUGAACCCCCACAGAGAGGAGUAGCAGCCGUGGACAGAUGUGAGUGGCCUGCACGUCAUCCUCCAUGGAGAGUGCUCCCUCCUCUGGUUUCGGGAAGGUCCAAUCAUCUCUGGAUCCGACAUCAAAGUCAUCUCCUGGCCCGUCUUUGGCUGCUGAUUGGUCCACAGGGGUGGAGAUAAUGCGCUGGUCAAUAGCAUGAUCCAU
Myripristis murdjan (pinecone soldierfish) is the source of this 370-nucleotide long non-coding RNA. RefSeq lists it as uncharacterized. The record is from RefSeq and is a predicted model, not a curated record. The transcript has 3 exons. NCBI's taxonomy places the organism in Eukaryota, Metazoa, Chordata, Actinopteri, Holocentriformes, Holocentridae.